UAGGGAAUCUUCGGCAAUGGACGGAAGUCUGACCGAGCAACGCCGCGUGAGUGAAGAAGGUUUUCGGAUCGUAAAGCUCUGUUGUUAGAGAAGAACGUUGGUAGGAGUGGAAAAUCUACCAAGUGACGGUAACUAACCAGAAAGGGACGGCUAACUACGUGCCAGCAGCCGCGGUAAUACGUAGUUCCCGAGCGUUGUCCGGAUUUAUUGGGCGUAAAGCGAGCGCAGGCGGUUCUUUAAGUCUGAAGUUAAAGGCAGUGGCUUAACCAUUGUACGCUUUGGAAACUGGAGGACUUGAGUGCAGAAGGGAAGAGUGGAAUUCCAUGUGUAGCGAUGAAAUGCGUAGAUAUAUGGAGGAACACCGGUGGCGAAAGCGGCUCUCUGGUCUGUAACUGACGAUGAGGCUCGAAAGCGUAGGGAGCAAACAGG
This 429-nucleotide ribosomal RNA is filed under the name Bacillota bacterium. Its description in RNAcentral is "Firmicutes bacterium partial 16S ribosomal RNA". It matches the Rfam family "Bacterial small subunit ribosomal RNA", at positions 355 to 776 of the family's 1533-position model. Lineage: Bacteria; Bacillati; Bacillota. The record is from RNAcentral.